GACGAACGCUGGCGGCGCGCCUAACACAUGCAAGUCGAACGAGCGAGAGAGAGCUUGCUUUCUCGAGCGAGUGGCGAACGGGUGAGUAACGCGUGAGGAACCUGCCUCAAAGAGGGGGACAACAGUUGGAAACGACUGCUAAUACCGCAUAAGCCCACGGCUCGGCAUCGAGCAGGGGGAAAAGGAGCAAUCCGCUUUGAGAUGGCCUCGCGUCCGAUUAGCUAGUUGGUGGGGUAACGGCCCACCAAGGCGACGAUCGGUAGCCGGGCUGAGAGGUUGAACGGCCACAUUGGGACUGAGACACGGCCCAGACUCCUACGGGAGGCAGCAGUGGGGAAUAUUGCACAAUGGGGGAAACCCUGAUGCAGCGACGCCGCGUGGAGGAAGAAGGUCUUCGGAUUGUAAACUCCUGUUGUUGGGGAAGAUAAUGACGGUACCCAACAAGGAAGUGACGGCUAACUACGUG
This 466-nucleotide ribosomal RNA is filed under the name uncultured bacterium. RNAcentral describes it as "partial 16S ribosomal RNA". It matches the Rfam family "Bacterial small subunit ribosomal RNA", at positions 28 to 507 of the family's 1533-position model. The record is from RNAcentral.